Molecule: ribosomal RNA, 393 nt
Filed under: uncultured bacterium
Lineage: Bacteria
Description: bacterial SSU rRNA
Rfam family: Bacterial small subunit ribosomal RNA
Source: RNAcentral
AACGAACGCUGGCGGCGCGCCUAAUACAUGCAAGUCGAGCGAGAAGACGUAGCAAUACGUUUGUAAAGCGGCGAACGGGUGAGAAUACAUGGGUAACCUACCCUCGAGUGGGGAAUAACUAGCCGAAAGGUUAGCUAAUACCGCGUACGCUCCUUGGACUUUCGGUUCAGGGAGGAAAGCGAUACCGUGGGUAUCGCGCUCUUGGAUGGGCUCAUGUCCUAUCAGCUUGUUGGUGAGGUAACGGCUCACCAAGGCUUCGACGGGGUAGCUGGUCUGAGAGGACGAUCAGCCACACUGGCACUGCGACACGGGCCAGACUCCUACGGGAGGCAGCAAGUAAGGAAUAUUGCGCAAUGGGCGAAAGCCUGACGCAGCGACGCCGCGUGGGGGAUG